UUUUUAAUGCCACCCACUUUGAUGGAAGAUUGUGUUGAAAUUAUUUAUGUACAGUGUGUACGAUAAGGCAGCAUAUUACAUUAGUCAACCAAUCACAUCUGACUCAUAUUGUCCUCAUGAGAAGCACAUACCUAAAUGAUCAUGGUGUUAGUGUAGGGAAUGAAGCCACUUCUAUCAAUUCCCUUCCACAAGUGCACGCACUUCUGUGUCACUUCCCUCAUGAUUAUUAACAAGACGCACUCUUAACACCAUUUCAUCUACCAUCAGCCAACCCGAUUCACCCUCCAUUUACAGCCUCUGCAAUCCUAACAACUCUACUCUGUCAUCGCCUGCCCCUAUAACUUGACAUUCCCAUCUUCACCAACCUAAUUCCACCAUCAACCUAAUGACACCCUUUCCUUCUGUUAGAAAUCAAUCAAAAGUGCAUAUGUUACUAGGUUAAAAUAAUAAUGAAAUUUCAUUUUAGAAUGGUUUAAACUGAAGUCUGAGAUGAGAUUUAAGAAAAAUCAGAGUAGAAAUAAAUAGGUAAAAAGAGAUAUAGGAAAAUGAUGUCCUAAUCUAAUCAUCAACUUUAGAGUUUUGUCUGCUUUUUAGGAUCAUCUACUUAACAUAUGAAAUUCAGCUUUAAUGAAUAUUCACGCUUUGACUGGAGAACUAGUUAUUUGUUGAGAUUAACCUUAAUGAGCUGCAGCUAAUGACUGGGGCUCCGAAAAGGUGGUGGCAGCAGUAGUCAACAGCUAUAAAAAUGAUGGUGAAGGAAUUAAGUGGUAUGCUAGUAACGGGGAACCAAAUGGUUGGCCACUUGGCCAUGGUGAGUAUUGAAUCAGAGGGUGAUGGUGAAAACUUGAUGGUGUGUGGAUUGAGAAAAGUUUGGUGGUGACCAUGGGAAACAGAGGUGGCUGCAUUUUAUGGGGUUAAUAUGUCUAGCUGGUUUACUUUUUAUUUUAUUGAAAUUAAAAUAUUCUUGAUUAAUUAGUUUUCUCCAAGCCUUUUUUGCUGAUGCAGACACAUUUCAAUAUCUGUUUAGCAUUUGUUUUACUUUUUCUAUCGACAUUGUUUCGCUACACAUACUGCACAUG
RNAcentral lists this long non-coding RNA (1079 nucleotides) under Olea europaea (common olive). RNAcentral describes it as "long non-coding RNA (OEUR_LNC013396)". The record is from RNAcentral. Lineage: Eukaryota; Viridiplantae; Streptophyta; Magnoliopsida; Lamiales; Oleaceae.